This 776-nucleotide ribosomal RNA is filed under the name uncultured Neocallimastigales. RNAcentral describes it as "partial large subunit ribosomal RNA". It matches the Rfam family "Eukaryotic large subunit ribosomal RNA", at positions 20 to 616 of the family's 3401-position model. Lineage: Eukaryota; Fungi; Neocallimastigomycota; Neocallimastigomycetes; Neocallimastigales. The record is from RNAcentral.
UACUAGAGUAGCACUCGCAUAUCAAUAAGCGGAGGAAAAGAAACUAACAAGGAUUCCCCUAGUAACGGCGAGUGAAGCGGGAAGAGCUCAAAUUUGAAAUCUUAAAGGGUUUCCCUUUACGAAUAUUGUAGUUUAAAGAAGUGUUUUCUGUUGAGGUUUUGGUAAAAGUUCUUUGGAAUAGGACAUCAUAGAGGGUGAGAAUCCCGUAUUUGACCUUUACUUUCAACUUUGUGAUACACUUUCAAAGAGUCGGAUUGUUUGGGAAUGCAGUCCAAAAUGGGUGGUAAAUUUCAUCUAAAGCUAAAUAUUGGCGAGAGACCGAUAGCGAACAAGUACCGUGAGGGAAAGAUGAAAAGAACUUUGAAAAGAGAGUUAAACAGUACGUGAAAUUGUCAAAAGGGAAGCGUUUGACACCAGUGUUGUUUUUCUGAAAAUCAAUUAAAGAACUGUUUAUGCUAAGCUGUUUAGACUUUAUCAGCUAUCUGUUUAGUUUUAGGCUUUUCUUUAAUGCACUUUUCAGUUAACAAGUCAACAUCAAUUUCUUUUGCUGUAAAAAAGCUUGAGGAAGGUGGCUUGGGAUUCGUCUUAAGUGUCUAUAGCCUCUUGCCUAUGCAGUCGGAGAGAUUGAGGUCUGCAGCGUAGAUCCUUCGGGGCUAAAUGCAUUUGUGCUAAGUUAUAGCAUUUUAUAGACAACUUGUUGACUAUGAUUUGUCUUGUAGCUUACUCGCUUAUGUUAUUUUACCUACGCUUAGGAUGUUGAGCGCAUGUCUCUCUCU